ACUUAAGUCAUUUAAUAAACCAAAUAAAUACAGCAGCAUGGGAAUAAACAAAUAGGAAACUAAAGAACGCUCAUCUGCCAUUUCAGAAAAAACCGUCUCUAUUUCUUUAUCCCAAAUAUACCUUUUUCCCAUUUUGAAAAUACAAUAAAAAACAUUUAAGAAAAACAAAAAUGAGAUGACCCACAAACACAUGCAGAUGAUGAUAAAGCUAGACCAAGCGGAAACUUGAAGGAAACUAAACCGGCAUGCAAAUAACUUCCUCAGAAUGAUGCAAAGCGAGACCGAAGCAUGGAUUAGAAACAAAGCUCGUAAGUGAAACUAACCAGUUGCAGCGAAGCCGGCCAACGAAUGAGCAGGGUUUCUCCUCUUUUCUUCAGUAGCCGUCAACACUUUUCUCUAGGGUCCUCCCUUUCGUCGCCUCCGAUCCCCCUUUUUUAUAUCCUUUCUACCUAGGGUUUCAGAUUGGUGUAUAGAGAUUCAAAAAGAAACGUUUUCGAAGUGCUUUUUGGUGCUCAACUUUUGAUUGCUCUCUUUGAUGCCUGGAUUCGAAAACGUGAAAAUGAUGAAGAUUCCAAAAGCGGUUCCGGUUUUGAUCACAACUCUGUUUUGUACUCGGUUUUGGGUGGUUUCAGGUGGUGGCUCGGCUAUGAUGCUGAAGUUUGCAAAAACAAUGGCUCAGGAACACUGUAUCUUCGCAUAAUCGUUUGUAUUGGUUCAGCAAGUAUCUCCCAGCAUUGGUUCAAGUCUUCGCUCAAGCGAGCUUUGUUGACCUGAAGCUUCCCAAUUCCUUGAAGCUUUGGUUGAAGAGCAUGGCCGGACUGACUUUGGAUGUUAUAACAGUGGAAGUUACGACGAGACAAAAGAGGUUAUUGCAUUUACUUUCCUUAUAGUUUCAUCUCAUCAAUUCAAUACUUCUCUGAACUUUUUCUCAUAUUUCACAGAUAAUAAAAAUGGCCUCAGCCUCAGCAGCAUCUCCAUCUACAAUCACUGUUGUAGGAAGCUCAGUCACCGGUUCCAAAUCAAGGAACAACAGGAAGGGUCAUAACGUGAGGUUCAUCACAACACUCAAUUCUUUUAACGGAUUGCAAGCUCAGCACAAAACUGUGGCAUCACUAGGAGUUCCUGUUUCCAGUGAACUGGCUUUUGCAAAAAGUGAGGAGUUCAAUAUAUAACGGAGGAAGAAGUGGUAGAGGUGGUGGUGCGCUCGCUUCAAAAUGCAAUGUUGCAGGAAUAUGAAACAUUAAACAUUAUUACAUGAUUUUCGAGUCUUGGCUCUUGUCUCAAUGAAGUGAUACGCAUUCGCCUGUCGCCGGUUCUCAUGACGAUUUGAGAGGUCGGUAGAGGUGUACUUGUAUAUUUGCGCGGACAUGAAGGUAGGGGUAUUGGAUUGGGCCACAAGCUCCAUGCUUAAAACCUACAGGAUGAUGGGCGCGAUACCAUAGAAGCCAAUGAGGAGUUGGGAUUGCCUGUUGACUCUAGGGAGUAUGGCAUUGGUGCGCAGAUACUGAGGGAUCUGGAUGUUCAAUCUAUGAAGUUGAUGACUAACAAUCCAUCCAAAUAUAUUGGUCUCAAGGUUUAACUGUUUCUGGUAGGAUCCCAUUGUUAACUCUUAUCACUUCAGAGAACAAGAGAUUUUUGGAGACAAAACGUGUGAAAAUGGGCCACCUCUAUGGCACGGAACAUAACAGUGGCAAUGUUAAAACCGAUAGUGUUGAAGACUCAAAUUCAAACGGAGUUACCAGCCUUUGAAGCCUUAGAAGAGGAAGUAGAAAUUAACAUUGCAGCUGAAUCCAAAAUGUGACAGUUGAAUAAUUCUAUUUAUGAAUUGAUUAUUUGCAUAAUUGUUUUGCCCGGUUUUCUUCAACCAGUCACUACUUAUUUAGACCUCAUUCUGAAACUUAGUGUCAUUCAUUAUAAGAUAAGGCCAUUGCCAAAAUCAAAUUCUGGUUUCCUCGUC
Molecule: long non-coding RNA, 1957 nt
Organism: Lathyrus oleraceus (garden pea)
Lineage: Eukaryota; Viridiplantae; Streptophyta; Magnoliopsida; Fabales; Fabaceae
Exons: 7
Source: RefSeq, a predicted model, not a curated record